This 465-nucleotide ribosomal RNA is filed under the name uncultured bacterium. RNAcentral describes it as "partial 16S ribosomal RNA". It matches the Rfam family "Bacterial small subunit ribosomal RNA", at positions 338 to 795 of the family's 1533-position model. The record is from RNAcentral.
CCUACGGGUGGCUGCAGUGGGGAAUAUUGCGCAAUGGGCGAAAGCCUGACGCAGCGACGCCGCGUGAGGGAUGAAGGUCUUCGGGUCGUAAACCUCUGUCAGCAGGGAAGUAAGGUCACGCUGCUAAUCAGCAGUGAAUUGACGUUACCUACAAAGGAAGACCCGGCUAACUCCGUGCCACCCGCCUCGGUAAUCCGGAGGGUGCGAGCGUUAAUCGGAAUUAAUGGGCGUAAAGCGAUCGUAGGCGGUAUGUCAAGUCAAGGGUGAAAUCCCCGCGCUCAACGUGGGAACUGCCUUUGAAACUGGCAAACUGGAGUGUGUGAGAGGAUAGUGGAAUUCCAGGUGUAGGAGUGAAAUGCGUAGAUAUCUGGAGGAACAUCAGUGGCGAAGGCGACUAUCUGGCACAUAACUGACGCUGAGGAGCGAAAGCGUGGGUAGCAAACAGGAUUAGAGACCCGGGUAGUC